This 456-nucleotide ribosomal RNA is filed under the name uncultured bacterium. RNAcentral's name for it is "bacterial SSU rRNA". It matches the Rfam family "Bacterial small subunit ribosomal RNA", at positions 40 to 518 of the family's 1533-position model. The record is from RNAcentral.
CGGCGUGCUUAACACAUGCAAGUCGAACGGGAGUAUUGAAGAAGCUUGCUUUAGAGAUACUUUAGUGGCGGACGGGUGAGUAACGCGUGAGGAGCUGUCCUAUGCAGGGGGACAACAGCUGGAAACGGCUGCUAAUACCCCAUAAGCCGAGAGGUAAAGGAUCAAUCCGGCAGAGGAGGUACUCGCGUCCUAUCAGCUAGUAGGUGAGGUAACGGCUCACCUAGGCGAAGACGGGUAGCCGGCCUGAGAGGGCGAACGGCCACACUGGAACUGAGAUACGGUCCAGACUCCGUACGGGAGGCAGCAGGUGGGGAAUAUUGGCAAUGGGGGAAACCCUUGACCCAGCGACGCCGCGUGGGUGAAGAAAUCCUUCGGGAUGUAAAGCCCUGUUGUAUGGGAAGAGCGGAAGACGGUACCAUACGAGGAAGCCCCGGCAAACUACGUGCCAGCCGCUGC